This 435-nucleotide unclassified non-coding RNA is filed under the name Hevea brasiliensis (rubber tree). The record is from RNAcentral. Lineage: Eukaryota; Viridiplantae; Streptophyta; Magnoliopsida; Malpighiales; Euphorbiaceae.
UGGUUUCUUCUUUUGCGGUUCUGGGUGAGUUAUAUGAUCAUAUUUCCUAUAUUCUAGUCCAUUUAAUAAUAAAAGAACCACUCAUUCAAAACCCUCUUUCCCUUUCUCAGUCUACACAUGUAUGCACGUAUACAUGCUUGUAUGUGUAAUUUAAGUUGCUUAAUGCUGAACAUCAUGUGUCCAAUAUAAAGAAAUACCUUAUGUUUUCCCCCUUAAGUAAAGAGGAAUAUCUUCUAUUGCAUACUUUGAAGUGACAUCUUGAUUUCCCCUCGCAACCACGCCCCCAAACCCCCCCACUCCCCCUCCCCCUCUUCCCCCAGUUUCUACAUUUGUCCCCUUGUUUGACUGACUUGACUGACAUUGUUUUCUCCAUCUAAAAUACCUUUUUUUUGCUAUUCUCUUUUUGCACAUAGCUUAGAGUUGACGGAGUCUUGA